RNAcentral lists this ribosomal RNA (1492 nucleotides) under Limosilactobacillus fermentum. RNAcentral describes it as "bacterial SSU rRNA". It matches the Rfam family "Bacterial small subunit ribosomal RNA". The record is from RNAcentral. Lineage: Bacteria; Bacillati; Bacillota; Bacilli; Lactobacillales; Lactobacillaceae.
GGGGGAACGGGGCGGGUGGUGCUAAUACAUGCAAGUCGAACGCGUUGGCCCAAUUGAUUGAUGGUGCUUGCACCUGAUUGAUUUUGGUCGCCAACGAGUGGCGGACGGGUGAGUAACACGUAGGUAACCUGCCCAGAAGCGGGGGACAACAUUUGGAAACAGAUGCUAAUACCGCAUAACAGCGUUGUUCGCAUGAACAACGCUUAAAAGAUGGCUUCUCGCUAUCACUUCUGGAUGGACCUGCGGUGCAUUAGCUUGUUGGUGGGGUAAUGGCCUACCAAGGCGAUGAUGCAUAGCCGAGUUGAGAGACUGAUCGGCCACAAUGGGACUGAGACACGGCCCAUACUCCUACGGGAGGCAGCAGUAGGGAAUCUUCCACAAUGGGCGCAAGCCUGAUGGAGCAACACCGCGUGAGUGAAGAAGGGUUUCGGCUCGUAAAGCUCUGUUGUUAAAGAAGAACACGUAUGAGAGUAACUGUUCAUACGUUGACGGUAUUUAACCAGAAAGUCACGGCUAACUACGUGCCAGCAGCCGCGGUAAUACGUAGGUGGCAAGCGUUAUCCGGAUUUAUUGGGCGUAAAGAGAGUGCAGGCGGUUUUCUAAGUCUGAUGUGAAAGCCUUCGGCUUAACCGGAGAAGUGCAUCGGAAACUGGAUAACUUGAGUGCAGAAGAGGGUAGUGGAACUCCAUGUGUAGCGGUGGAAUGCGUAGAUAUAUGGAAGAACACCAGUGGCGAAGGCGGCUACCUGGUCUGCAACUGACGCUGAGACUCGAAAGCAUGGGUAGCGAACAGGAUUAGAUACCCUGGUAGUCCAUGCCGUAAACGAUGAGUGCUAGGUGUUGGAGGGUUUCCGCCCUUCAGUGCCGGAGCUAACGCAUUAAGCACUCCGCCUGGGGAGUACGACCGCAAGGUUGAAACUCAAAGGAAUUGACGGGGGCCCGCACAAGCGGUGGAGCAUGUGGUUUAAUUCGAAGCUACGCGAAGAACCUUACCAGGUCUUGACAUCUUGCGCCAACCCUAGAGAUAGGGCGUUUCCUUCGGGAACGCAAUGACAGGUGGUGCAUGGUCGUCGUCAGCUCGUGUCGUGAGAUGUUGGGUUAAGUCCCGCAACGAGCGCAACCCUUGUUACUAGUUGCCAGCAUUAAGUUGGGCACUCUAGUGAGACUGCCGGUGACAAACCGGAGGAAGGUGGGGACGACGUCAGAUCAUCAUGCCCCUUAUGACCUGGGCUACACACGUGCUACAAUGGACGGUACAACGAGUCGCGAACUCGCGAGGGCAAGCAAAUCUCUUAAAACCGUUCUCAGUUCGGACUGCAGGCUGCAACUCGCCUGCACGAAGUCGGAAUCGCUAGUAAUCGCGGAUCAGCAUGCCGCGGUGAAUACGUUCCCGGGCCUUGUACACACCGCCCGUCACACCAUGAGAGUUUGUAACACCCAAAGUCGGUGGGGUAACCUUUUAGGAGCCAGCCGCGUAAGGUGACAAGAAUGGG